This is a long non-coding RNA of Macadamia integrifolia, 2773 nucleotides long. RefSeq lists it as uncharacterized. The transcript is spliced from 2 exons. The record is from RefSeq and is a predicted model, not a curated record. NCBI's taxonomy places the organism in Eukaryota, Viridiplantae, Streptophyta, Magnoliopsida, Proteales, Proteaceae.
UUUUACUUUUCUAAAAGGGGGGAAUCAAUUCACUUUUGUAAGUGAUGAUGGGUGAGGAUUUUUCCACCUUUGGUAGUUGGUGGAUGAACUUUUCCACUCCAACUUUCAGAGGUGAGGAUUUUUCCGCCUUUGGUAGUUGAUAGGUGAAGAAUUUUCCAACUUUAGUAGUUGGAAGAUGAAGACUUUCCUACCCCAAGUUUAAUACAAGACUUUCUACUAUUGUUAGUUGGAAGUUGGGUAUGCAAUGUUCUGUUAAGUUGGUUCUAUAAAUAGGGAUCAAUUGUAAGCAUUCAGGGACAACUUAGAAUUUGAAACAAAGUUUGCUUAUGCAACUCUCUUCUUGUGUUUGAUCAAGAGAUCCCUUGUGUUUGAUCCAAUCGAUCCACCUUGCGGUGUGAAGCCUAGGUGUUACUUUUAUUGGCUAUUAUCUUAUUUUCUUUUUCUAACAACAGAUUUUAGCAAAUACCUACUUCAAAAUUUGGAUUUCUUUAUUCUCUGAGAAAAGAUCCCAUCACGGUACUGUUUUGAGCUUCCCCAAUUACAAUAUUACAUCAAAUAGCCUCAAUAUGACCCACGAAAGCGGACGAAUGGCUGGUUGGCUGUGCUGAAUUCUAUUUUGGUGCUUUUCUUCAUGCUUUGAUCUACAUCAUUGACUUUAAGUAGGAAUUCUGAAAUUGAUUUGAAAACUGGGAGAAAAUAUAAUCUAGAAUUAAUAACUGUUAUGCAAGUUAAUAGCAUGAAAACAGCAUAGAUAAUUAGAUGAUUAACUCCAGAAUCAAGGCUUGAACUAACCUGAAAUUUGGAACUGAAAUUAAAUAACAGAAAUAUAAAUUGCAGGAGAGAAGUUUAGAAGAUUGUGAUCGGAUAUAUACUGGAUAGAUAGAAAGAGAUAGGAGGAGGAUAAAAAUUCAGGAUUUCAGUUACUGAAUCCCACUGAGUCCACAGAAAUAACACACCUGAAUCCCAUGGAUGUAACGUGAAUCCAAAGAUCAGCAAAGCUGAAAGCUUCUCUAUUUAUUGUGGAAGAGGCUAAGGCCUCUUACAAUUAUUUAUAAUGGUGAAGACAGUAAAGAAAAUAAAAUCAAACUAACUCUUAUGUCCUUCCAUUGACUAAGCCUAUUUGGAGGAGUUCAAAUUGACUAGGACACUUAUUAAGAAAAGAAAUAACAACCCAAACUGUAUAGGAAAUCCUUCCCUACAGCAGGCUUUGUUUGGGUGUCCUAUCUUGAACCAAAAACUGAAUAAAACAUCCCAAUAAGGCUUGAGACUUGCAGAGUCUAAUCCAUCCUACGAAUUCCAAUAGAAAUAUAAUAAAAUAAGUUGCUCACAACUGCUUCAUAACCAGAACUGAAAAGGUUCCUGAAGAAAUCAGGAAACUAGGAUCUGAGCUGGCCUGAUUCAUUGAAUCCGAACCCCCUUCAAAUGGCCCACUCGAUUGGACCAGGUUUUGGUCCAACCUUGGUCCAAUCUGACCCUACCGAUAGACUCAGUCUGUGCUAUUCUUCCUCUUCUGUACUUCUGCUGAACUCCUUUAGAUUCACAUCUGUGACAGUUGGAGUUUUACAAAAUCAAAAUUAAAACUUUCUUGAAACCUAUAUUCCCCAAAAUAAUCAGGUUGAAUUGGCUUCGUUAGGUCCAUAUAAUUAUAUGUUAACCACAUUAGGUUUUGUUGGCUCGGGAAAGUGUAUGGAUACUAAUAUUAGUACUUUACUUGAUUUCAAUAUUAUAUUAUGUGCAUAAUAACUUAUAUAUAGGUAAAAGGACGCAAUACCUACACUAUACACUAGCAAAAUAGGGUGCCUUAUUUAUCUAAUCAUCCAUACAUGUGUAUUUCCAUAAUUUCCCCUCUUCUCUCAAUUUUUUGCCAAAUCUCGACCAUUUCAAAGAAACAUUUCUGUUUUGACAAGGGUCAAAAUAACCUCUUUUGUUGACUUCUCAACCCUUAGGGGUAAGGUUCAGUUAGCAUGGUGGAUAUCAGGCCCUUAAUGAUUCUCUUCAUGUAGUAGGAAGGAUCCUAACCUUGUAUGAGAUCUUGCAACUGAUGGUGCAUCUUAUCCAUGCCAGAAACAGGAUAUUGAAUUUUUUAUUUUUGUUUACUUCAAUCCAGCAAUCUCAUUUUGGUUUGGGUAUGCUUGUGGGGCUGAUUAUAGACCUGCAUUUAGUGAGCUAGUUAGAUAAUGUUACUUGUUAAUUUUUUGGCUUCUAUACCUGCAAUCCUUUAUUUGUUCUAUUCAUUUUGAGAAUAUUGUCAUUUACCCUCCCCUCUUUUUGAAUUUCCAGUUGGUGAACCCAAAUAACAAGAACAUUCGGGAUAUUCCUGGGCUUGCCCCACCAGCUCCUGCUCGGAAACUUCUUUGGGAUCUGAAUUAGAGUACAGAAAGUGAACCAUCUCAUGCGGCUGUCGAAAAGAUGUGUGGAAUAUCCAGGAUACCAGUGAGGAGCCAGAUUGUGCAACACAGAGUUGCUGAAGCUGAUGUCUGAUUAGCCAUGGUCCAAGGUGUUGGCCUACAAUGCAGUUCCAACCUCACAAGGCCAAAUAAGUGCAGUUCUUUGUGAUGAUAUACCAUUGCAGAAUUGGUUGUCUCUAGUGAUUGAGACUACGUUGUACGAUACUAGAUGAUUUCUCUACCUAUUUUCCUCCAUUCCUUGUCUUUUACUCUCAUAUUUGAUAAUUUUUUUUGGGUUGAUGUCCAUAUUUUUCCAAAUAUGUUACCUUGUUUCUUUGUCUAUGGUACUUGAAAUUAUAUUUAUUAUUCAAGGAUUAGUUCACUCA